UUUCUGGUGGUUUAGUGGCUCCUGUGCUCUCACCGCUGAGGCCCGGGUUCGAUUCCCGGGCAGGAAA
Pangasius djambal is the source of this 67-nucleotide non-coding RNA. NCBI's taxonomy places the organism in Eukaryota, Metazoa, Chordata, Actinopteri, Siluriformes, Pangasiidae. The record is from the annotation of a GenBank genome assembly.